CUCGUCGACUGCUCCCAACCCCACACGAAGGGAGUUAUCUCCACCAGAGUUAGUCGCACUGCGCGCGUCACCGCGGCCAGAGAAGAGAGAGCGAAGCGUUUUUGUGCCGCUGCGCCCUGAGAGGAAUCAUAAACUUCUCUUGAAGGUCACGCCACCUGGCGUGCAGGCCACAUAGGGUUUUCGGAGGCUUACGAAGGGAAAAGCCUAUGCGUGUGCAUGUCUGGCCCUGUCACGCUCUCUAAUCGAAGGGAACUGGCAGAGCUCAUAGCGAGGGUAGCUUAGUGUCACUUUUUUUGUAUAUCUAGUUGCUGGUUUUGGCGGAGAGGAGGGGCGUCGUCCUGGAAACAUCCCACGGCGGUUUGUGAUCUGCACAGAUACCAGCAGAGGAAAGGACGGCGGCAGCUGCCAUUCGCGCCGCGGCCGUUCAAGCGCUGGCCUUGUACUGUGGCCGCUAUCGCACGCUUGUCAUCUUGGAUGAGACCCGUCGCUGCUUCGGCGUGCUUGUACAUGGACGACUCGCGUGGAUCAGCUCUGUUUCCGCAACCGAGCACACCUGAGCCGCAGCGCUUCCAAUUCCGAAGCCUGCGGUGGUGCCCGGAGGCACAGACGCCAACGGCCCAGCGUAACGGAUCUGUGCCCUAUGCAGCGGAGGAGGUGGCCUAUAUGUAUGCUGACGAGGAGGGUGUGCCGCAUGCGCAGCGCUCCAACGUAGGGCAUCUCACGCGGUCGCAGCCGCAGGAUGACAGCGCUAGUCCUUGCACACCGCGAACGGUGUGUCAGCCUCGGACGAGGCAACGCGCGGAGCUAGCGAGCGCGCAUCCCUUUUCCGCCUCACUGCGCACCGCCCAUGCGUCCGCUGCUCCCCUGCAGCAGUCGCCGUGCUCAUUCAUGCCAUCCAUCGCGGAUGCUCCCGUGGUGCGUCGCACUCGGUCUCUCUCGUGUCCAAGUGCCGAUCGAUCCGUUGCACCAGCUCGCUGUUCAGUCGGGUACGGCACCAGCAGUGGAGUAGCAGGGCAAAACAUUGGCCGACACACUACCGUAUUGAGUGCUGUGCCACCCGCCGGUGUGAAUAUGUGUGGCUCGCCGUCCGCUGUUUUCGCUGCAUGCUCGACAGUGCCGUUACACUCGGCGUUGUCUACGACAGCGCACUCGAUGGCGAACGAGCAAGGCCGUGCGCUUCCGGAGCGUCACGACGGCGUUGAUCUGCCCGCUUGCGGAAGCAACGACGCCUUUUUCGCGCACACGUACACCACGCAGCCGUGUGCCACCUCCGCCUCCGUCCCACGGCUCACGCGUCUUUCGCUCUCCUCCAGCGGGCACAGCCCUGCUGUGCCGACGAACUGGUCUAUUGGCCGCCCGACCACGCUGCGUUGCCGCGACACGGACUCUGACGUGCACUGUGAUUGGGGCGCCAUUCAAGGGGAGGAUGAGGCGGAGAAGAAGUCGUUGAUCGGUUGUGCGACGCAAGUCUGGCGCGUCUCUGCCGAGGUGCGGAUGCCGCUGCAGUGUUCCCAUGGCACAGAGGCGAAAGAGGAGGAGGCGUUGCUCGGCGACCCGACCUCGCAUGGUGGUGACUACCUGACAAACGGCAGGGACGUAUUUGCGUCCUCGCCACCGAUUGCGUGGCAGCCAGCACCGCUCCCGGCGUCUUUUGCGGCCUCCCAGCUCGACCUUUCCGGCUGCGGCCAGGACAACGCUGUGCUGCUGAGCGGUGUACCUGUGGCGAGCGCCGAAGAGGAAGCCCACAAUGAAAGCCGCGAGGUGACGCGAUCGAACGCGAUACCGACAACCGGAGACAUUGCGGCCACGAAAUCGAACGGUUCCUUUGUCGGCUUGGAGGCUGCACCGCGCAAGGGCUAUGCCCGAUCCAACAGCGGCACGCCUCCGCGAAGCGAUCUCGGUUCUCCGAACAACGCGGCAAACCUGAAAGCGCAAGGUCGCGCCGCUAAUGGAGCGUCUGCAGGUGUCGAACUCGCGUCCCGCGCAGCAGCUUCGGAGACUAACUCUCACCACUUCGGGGCAUCUCUGUGUGCCAACAUCGGCAGCGGCUGCAGUGCCCGCUUGGGAAUAGCUGCGGAGUGGCGAGACCACAUGUGUACCGCCACCCCGCAGGGACGGGGCGUGUGGGUGGAUGCGCCGGCACAGCUGCGUGGGUCCGAAUACCCCCCCUCCACAACAACGGCUGAGGCGGUUGCCGCGCGGCUGGCGCACAUCUCUAUCCACACCUCUCCUACCCCAAAGCGACUGGCGUUUGAAGAGGAGGAGCUUGUCGAGAGGGUCAGCGGUGGCGGCUCGCCGACGCUGAUCCCUGCGGUGCGCAUUGUUGCGGACGGCGCUGCUCGACGGCGCGCUUGCAACGACGCUUCAGCUGCUCAAGGUGGUGGUGGCUCUACUGAAGUCGGCCUCCUGGGUAAAGGCGCCGGGGGCCUGGGCAGCAGCGGCAUGCGGUGGGCGUCGGCGUUUGGCGAUAGUGGUCAUCGUGAGCUGUGUAGCAGUCACAUCCCCAGCGGGCUGCAGCUGCUCCGCUCCCGAAAACGUUGCCUUGCCGAAAUGCAAGCGACAGACACGCAGGAAAGGCAUGCCGACACGCUGGUUACCGUAGGUAUCAACGACGCACACGAUGCAAGUUAUCUUGUACCCGAUAGGGUCGGUCCUAUGAGCUUAGCGACUCCUUUUGAGAACCUAGAGGAGGAGGGUGGCGACGGCGACGAGGAGGCAGUGAAGAGGCAGAGGCGCGAGGAGCAGCGUCGCACGCGACUGCAGCAUCUUCUCCCGGCUUCGCUAAACACGAUGGAUGACCUCAUUCCAUCUCCGGCGCGAGCUCUUGGGACGGGAGUUGCUCCCUGUUCAUUUCUACUCUCCUCGCGCGUGUGUAGCGCCGUGCACGGGAUCCAGUCGGCGCAGGAUCAGCAGCAUCAACAAGACCGCACCCGAAACGACGAUCCGGUUUCGUGGAGUCAGAUGAGCAGCAUCAGCUACGUGACGCCGGCGUCGCAGAGCACGUCGAUGGGCCUUUGGGGGAUGUCAAGCACACUCUCUCAAGACCACCACGGCGGCGCAGUGGUGUGUUCCGUCGGCUCCGGCUCGCAGGUGUUGACACCGCUCCCAACAAAUGUGACGCCGCAGCCAUCACGCAAACCGUAGAGAGAGUUGUUUGCCUCUUCACCAACACCAGCAGCGCGCUCGAGAGUUGUCUUGCACUUACUCGUGCGCAUCCCUCGGCCACAGGCUCAUGUCGGCGUGUCUCUCACUCUCUCACAGCCACUUUCGCUUUUGUUGUAUGUAUAUAUAUAUAUGUAUGUGUGUGUGCGUGUGUGCCAGGGUGCCGCUUCCUUUCGCUCUUUUUUUUUUACAUUGCGUGUCUCUCUCCAUAGGUGCAGGCUGGCCCCUGAUCAGCCCCUUCUCCCCCUCUUCCCACGCCCAGUGCGUCUGAACGCCGUUGUGCAGUGGACUGGCGCUUUCCGCGCCGCAGUUGCGUUCCGUCUUCUCACCUUAUUACUACUUUCUUUAGCGUAUUCUCACGUCAUCUUUACUUCACCACCACCUCGCCUCUCCUCCUUUGAAUACUUUGCCCUCUCCCUCUGAGCUGACCUAGAUUGUGUGUUCCCUUUCGAAAGCCGCCUCUGUCUCCCACCCAACCCCCACACUCCUCUUCGUGUUCUCUUUCUUGUGCUUUCAGCGCCGAGGCAACGGAACGGCCGCAAAUGACGACAGCGAGGAAGAAAGACGAAUGACCCUUGUGGGCACCCACGCAGUCCUCUCCUCUCGUUCUCUCUGCCCACUCCCCUUCCAGUUAUUCGCCUUCGUCAGCGUGAUGUUUCCUCUCACGCUGCGCUUCUCUUCCUUUUUGUUGUUCUGCCCUUCUCCAUUGCUACAUUUUUUCUGUGUUCCCCUGCACUCGUUAGAUCAGUGAGCGCACCGCGCGCCCCCCUCCCUCCCCCCAGCAUCGGCGGCUUUGCCUGCUUCUCACCCAUGUCGUGGAACUCAGCAAGUGCCGACACCCCUCUCGUCUCCCUCCCGCCACACGGAUACAUCAAGGCCCUACCUUGCCGUUCAUUUAUGUCAAGGAGUGUGUAAACGACCUUGUGUUUGUGUAUCGCGCUUGUCUUGAUGGCCGUUUCUUUACUGUGUUGCCGCGCCCUGGCUGUGCGUUUGCUAGAUUUCGGUUCUCGUGAGACCCACAGUCCCGGCGUCUCUUUUCACCCUGUAGAUUCCACACGCAACUCUUGUCGUGCUGUGUGUGUGCGUGUGUGCUUUCCGUUUGGUAGAUUGUAGUAGAUGCUCACGAUUCACUCGCGUGUUGGUGCUUGCUUGUUUUGUGUUGUUCUUUGUACACCGAAUCACCGAAGUAUGGUCUUUCUUUUUUGUGAUGUGCGCAUCGGCAGAUGACAGGAAGGGCCUGCCCCCUUCCCCUCACUACCCCCCUCCCCCCUCACCACCACCACCACCACGGAGAAACCCGCUUUUACGUUUUAUUCUUUUCCGUCCGCAGAAGAAUUCUCCACACCCCACGUCCGAAGAAUCAAAUAGUCGAAAACAAGUUGUGCGCAGUUUGCAGAACUGCAGCAGCGCGACCCUAUCACGAACUGUGUUGCAGCAGCGGUGAGCGAAAGGGAUCCGAGGUGCCUGCCUCUCAGUGCUUGUGCUGUCGCGUUGUAUCACUCGCGGCCGGUGCAGGCACCCUGCUUUUUGCGGGGCGCGAAACGGGGCGGAAACCCCCCAGACAAGAUUCAUCUCUUGGACUUCAUAAC
Molecule: unclassified non-coding RNA, 4751 nt
Filed under: Leishmania donovani
Lineage: Eukaryota; Euglenozoa; Kinetoplastea; Trypanosomatida; Trypanosomatidae
Description: gene:LdHU3.36.6180(CDS-product:hypothetical_prote in_conserved)
Source: RNAcentral